GACGAACGCUGGCGGCGUGCCUAAUACAUGCCAGUCGAACGCUUCUUUCCUCCCGAGUGCUUGCACUCAAUUGGAAAGAGGAGUGGCGGACGGGUGAGUAACACGUGGGUAACCUACCCAUCAGAGGGGGAUAACACUUGGAAACAGGUGCUAAUACCGCAUAACAGUUUAUGCCGCAUGGCAUAAGAGUGAAAGGCGCUUUCGGGUGUCGCUGAUGGAUGGACCCGCGGUGCAUUAGCUAGUUGGUGAGGUAACGGCUCACCAAGGCCACGAUGCAUAGCCGACCUGAGAGGGUGAUCGGCCACACUGGGACUGAGGCACGGCCCAGACUCCUACGGGAGGCAGCAGUAGGGAAUCUUCGGCAAUGGACGAAAGUCUGACCGAGCAACGCCGCGUGAGUGAAGAAGGUUUUCGGAUCGUAAAACUCUGUUGUUAGAGAAGAACAAGGACGUUAGUAACUGAACGUCCCCUGACGGUAUCUAACCAGAAAGCCACGGCUAACUACGUG
RNAcentral lists this ribosomal RNA (508 nucleotides) under uncultured bacterium. RNAcentral describes it as "partial 16S ribosomal RNA". It matches the Rfam family "Bacterial small subunit ribosomal RNA", at positions 28 to 507 of the family's 1533-position model. The record is from RNAcentral.